AAAUGCGAUAAGUAAUGUGAAUUGCAGAAUUCCGUGAAUCAUCGAAUCUUUGAACGCACAUUGCGCCCUCUGGCAUUCCGGGGGGGCAUGCCUGUCCGAGCGUCAUUACGCACCCUCAAGCCCGGCUUGUGUGAUGGGCCCCGGCGUCUCGUUCGCGAGACGGGCCCGAAAGGCAGCGGCGGCGUCGACCCGAUGAGCCCGAGCGUAUGGGGACUUCUGUCACACGUUCGCGGUGCGGACCGGCGCCUGCUUGACUUUUCUGAUUAUCCAGGUUGACCUCGGAUCAGGUAGGGAUACCCGCUGAACUUAAGC
This 312-nucleotide unclassified non-coding RNA is filed under the name plant metagenome. Its description in RNAcentral is "partial contains 5.8S ribosomal RNA, internal transcribed spacer 2, and large subunit ribosomal RNA". The stretch from base 1 to 105 matches the Rfam family "5.8S ribosomal RNA", at positions 51 to 154 of the family's 154-position model. The record is from RNAcentral.